This 1383-nucleotide long non-coding RNA is filed under the name Brassica rapa (field mustard). Its description in RNAcentral is "long non-coding RNA (BRAP_LNC000385)". Lineage: Eukaryota; Viridiplantae; Streptophyta; Magnoliopsida; Brassicales; Brassicaceae. The record is from RNAcentral.
UCGGGAUAAACGCUUGAAUGAUUAUUAACUGUAAUGGUUUGAUCAUAAAAGAGUUAGUACGAAUAUUAACAAUAAAAUUAUGGAUUAGAUUAAUUUAAAUUUGUAAGAAUACCUUUGAGUCUAUGAAAAGCAAUUCAAUUCCCAUGAAUAAAUUUGGUUUUUGAAAGUUGCGGGUUUCCCAACAAUGAAUCCACCUAACAAAAAGUUCGUUGUUAUAAAAAAUCUCCUUCAAGGUCAUUAAAGAUUUUUGGGACGGCAAGAGUUGAUGGUGAAACCAUUUUUUUGCUCGAGUGCUUUGAAGUUUUCUUUGAUAGUGUGAGGUUGAUGUUGAUGGAAUAAUGAGUUUUAUAGGGACUUUCUUGAUGUAAAACUAUACAUUUUUAUUUUUUUUGUUUAAUGUGGUAUUUCUAUUUUUAUAUAAUUUACUACCAUUUUAAGAUAGAUGUAGAUUUUAAGAUCGAUGUUUAAAUCUUAAUGUAGUUUUUAAAUUUUUUAAAAUGUUUAUUUCCAUUUCUUAUAUUUUUUAUUUACGUAAUAUCUAUAUUUUUUAUUUUAAAAUAGAUAUUUAAAUCUUAAUGUACUUUUUCUAUUUUUUUAAAUUGUGUAUUUAAUUUUAUCAUAUAUUUUACAUUUUAAGAUAGAUGUUUAAUGCUUAAUGAACUUUUUCCAUUUUUUAAAAAAAAUUGUGUAUUUACUUAUUAUUAUAUAUAUAAUUCAUAUAUUAUAUAUUUAUAUUAUUUACUUAUUAUUUAUUUUCCUGUAUAUGUAUUUCUAUUUCUUGUACUUUUUAUUUACUUAAUAUCUCUAUUUUACAUUUUAAGAUAGAUGUUUAAAUCUUAAUGUACGUUUUCCCUUUUUUUAAAUUGUAUAUUUCCAUUUGUUAUACUUUCUAUUUACGUAAUAUCUAUAUUUUAAAUUUUAAGAUAUAUUUUUAAAUCUUAAUGUAAUUUUCCAUUUUUUAUUUUUAUAUUUUUAUUUUUUUUUUGUCGACAACAUUACAGACUCAUAUUGACCCUGUAAACCAAGCUGAGAGAUGUUGAUCCAUGUAAACGACGAAAGACAGCUGAAUCCUGACACUGCGUGCUAGGCUAUCCGCCUUCGUAUUUUGCGUUCUUGGCACAUGAAUAAUCUCUGAUCGUAUGAAACUCUCUUUCAAAUUCUUGAUAUCCUCCAAAUAACUUGCAAAAGCUGGUCAUUCUUCUGGUUUCUUAUAAUAUAUAUUUACUUAUUAUUUAUUGUUCUUUAUAUUGUGUAUUUCUAUUUCUUAUACUUUCUAUUUACUAAUAAUUUUAUAAUUUAAGAUGAAUUUACAUUUUAAGAUAGAUGUUUAAAUACUAAUGUACUUUUUCCAUUUUUUUUAAAUUGUGUAUUUCCUUUUCUUAU